AGAAAACAGUAAAGAUGACGAAGAUUUGGCAUUGAUCACAAAAAAAUUCAGAUGGUUUAUAAAGAAAAAAAGAUAAGAGACCAAGAGAAGAUCACAAAUUAAGGGAGAGCCGAGUAAAGAAAAAGAGAAAGAACAGUCUGUCAUUUGUUAUGAGUGUAAGAAGUCGGACCACUUUAGAUCAGACUGUCUCCAGCUCAAGAAAGGUCUGAAGAAGUUCAAGAAGAAAAAGACAAUGAUAGCUAUGACUCCACCUC
Molecule: long non-coding RNA, 254 nt
Filed under: Elaeis guineensis (African oil palm)
Lineage: Eukaryota; Viridiplantae; Streptophyta; Magnoliopsida; Arecales; Arecaceae
Description: long non-coding RNA (EGUI_LNC049438)
Source: RNAcentral